Molecule: long non-coding RNA, 748 nt
Organism: Saccostrea cuccullata (small rock oyster)
Lineage: Eukaryota; Metazoa; Mollusca; Bivalvia; Ostreida; Ostreidae
Exons: 5
Source: RefSeq, a predicted model, not a curated record
AGGCCCCAAAGGCACCGUGCAUGUGCAUGCUGUAUGUUGUAAAAUGGCAACGUUUCGCCUUUUAUCAUGUUUAUUAAAAUGUAUGCUUCAUAUGUAUGUUCUCUCUCUAUAUAUAAAUGAAUACUUUUCGGAAUUAAAAAAAAAAUAUUUUUAACCCCGCUCAAAUUAUCCGGAUGAUAAUAGUUUCACCGUGCAUGGUUUCGUAGUUAAAUUCAGACCGUAGAACAUCCGGUUUGAAUACAUGUGUUUUCUGACUUUUCGGAUAGCCAACUCUUGUUUUUUGGAACUUACGACUUAUGGCAAGAGAGAAGAAAACUGUGUGACUUUAAAAGAAAACCAGUGAGAUAAAAUUAUAGAAAAUGUAUGAUGAUUCAGGAUGUGGUCAUUUGUGACAGUAAAACAGGAAUUGUCAUCACCAAUAGACGAAUUUCACAUUCCUAAGAGUUUCCUCCAAUUGUCGGCGUAUCGCUCAUUUUCCCCACUUUGUCCUUUGUCCUGUUCUGUGGAUGCCCUUAGACAUUGUCUACCCAUCACUCCAUCUGAAAUCACUCGUUCUGUGCAUAUUUCUCUCUCAAACUUAAACUACAGAGAGCCUGUGGAUAGAGGAUGAAGAGUGACCUUGGACUAAUUUUCUAGGUCAAAGAUCAUAGGUGAUGUGAAGAAAACCAGGAAACUGAUGUUGAAAGAAGUACUUAAUGACCCUUAUGAAUGGACUUAAAUGUGAAAGACUGUUCCAUUGUUUAUCUAA